UACCAAAAAAGCCAAGCACAGCUUGGUUUCAACUCUCUCUAAUGGAGAGCAAAGAGAUAUCGAAUAAAAGCAGCGAUGUUUCCAGGAAUGUUCAUGCGCAAACUAGACAAGCGGUGGCCUUGAAGCAGCUGAAGGCAUAUGUGGCUGUGUUGGCGUCUGGGUAGCUCUGGUUUGUGUCACUCCUUACAUUUUUCAUUACCUCUCUCAAAAGCCUUGUCCCCUACUCCAUUUUGAGGUUGAAAGAAGGCAUUUGGAGGCUGGAAAAUGAAUCCUAAGCUUGGUGGGUAUUGGUGCUUGAAUGUGGCUGGGGAUUUGAGAUUUGAAAGCGCCAAACUAACAUCUAAGAGAUGAUGAUUGGUCCGUUGAAGAGAAGAGCAGCACUCUUUCUUUCCCAUCAUACGAAGAUAGGGAUAUAAUAUUGACCGAUCAGACUAGACGAUCCAGCUAUGAGUAAUUUGGCUGCUUCAUAUGACUCAAAAGCUGUAUCUAGGGCAUUAUUUCUUCAUUUUAAGAAGCACCUCCAAACCAAAAUACAUUAUGUCAUUUUACAAGAAAUGCUAAAGCUAAGACUUUGGGUGCCUUCUUCAUUAUGUCAUGUAAAAAGUUUCAUGUUACUUCCUAAUCAAAUGGUUUUGUCUACAAA
This 643-nucleotide small RNA is filed under the name Theobroma cacao (cacao). RNAcentral describes it as "sRNA Tc06v2_g006360". The record is from RNAcentral. Lineage: Eukaryota; Viridiplantae; Streptophyta; Magnoliopsida; Malvales; Malvaceae.